Molecule: long non-coding RNA, 101 nt
Organism: Sapajus apella (tufted capuchin)
Lineage: Eukaryota; Metazoa; Chordata; Mammalia; Primates; Cebidae
Exons: 3
Source: RefSeq, a predicted model, not a curated record
UAAAUGUUUUACCUGCAAGUGGCAUCCAGUCUCGUGUGGGAAAAGAACACGAUGUAUGUAAUAACACCAGGGGAACUCCAGAGCUGGGGAUGAAUGCAGAG